GAGGUCUUAGCUUAAUUAAAGUGUCUGAGUUGCAUUCAGGAGAUGUGGGCUUAUUUCACAGGCCUU
RNAcentral lists this transfer RNA (66 nucleotides) under Hemidactylus fasciatus (banded leaf-toed gecko). RNAcentral describes it as "tRNA-Ala". The record is from RNAcentral. Lineage: Eukaryota; Metazoa; Chordata; Lepidosauria; Squamata; Gekkonidae.